AAAACAUUGACGAACGCUGGCGGCGUGCUUAACACAUGCAAGUCGAACGAUGAACCAGGAGCUUGCUCUUGGGGAUUAGUGGCGAACGGGUGAGUAACACGUGAGUAACCUGCCCUUGACUCUGGGAUAACCUCCGGAAACGGAAGCUAAUACCGGAUACGAACUGCGAAGGCAUCUUCAGCAGUUGGAAAGAACUUCGGUCAAGGAUGGACUCGCGGCCUAUCAGGUAGUUGGUGAGGUAACGGCUCACCAAGCCUACGACGGGUAGCCGGCCUGAGAGGGUGACCGGCCACACUGGGACUGAGACACGGCCCAG
This 316-nucleotide ribosomal RNA is filed under the name uncultured bacterium. Its description in RNAcentral is "bacterial SSU rRNA". It matches the Rfam family "Bacterial small subunit ribosomal RNA", at positions 28 to 334 of the family's 1533-position model. The record is from RNAcentral.